UAUAAAAUAAUAAUUAUCUUACUUGGAGUAACACUUAAGUUGUAAGUGCACUUUGAAGUACAUAUUCUCAAGUUUAGGAUGAGAGAAAGAGAGAGAAUGUUGAAUGAGACUGUUUUAUGCCACAACGAUCUGUGUGCUUGCCUACCUUAUAUGUUUUCAUUUCUGAACAACUCUGAAAAACAGCCCUUUGUCAGGAGAAGGCCAAGGAUAAGGGAAGUUGAAAGUAUUGAACACUACAAAUCAUACAGCUUCUAGAGUUCGGAAUCAAGGUUUGUUCGGUCAGACUUUAUAGCUCUCAAGUCCAUUCCAUAGAUAUAUUAAUGACUAUAGAAACAAUUUCUAUAAGUUCUUGAAUUUAGUAACUGAGUUGUGUUAACAGUUGUGUAUGUCAUUUCAUCUGUAGGCAGUUAUUUGGCAGAAAACUAGCGUAUCUGACCACAAGACGGCUCUCAUGUCAGUUCUGGGGACUGCUAUUAUGGGCAACUUGGAGUCUUUUCAGGUACCACUCUGAAGAAUCUCAGAUUUAUCUAAGUGGAUUCCUUCCAAAGCUUGAUGCAGACCACUCUUCCACAAGUCUUUCAACUCCAGAGAGGAGUUUCGUCUUUAUAAAUAGUCGACCUGCCCAUCAGAAAGAUAUAUUAAAGUUAAUCCGACAUUAUUACAAUCCAAAGUGCCUAAAGGAAUCUACUCGUUUGUAUCCCAUCUUUUUUCUGAAAAUUGAUGUACCUACAACUGAUGUGGAUGUAAAUCUAACACCAGAUAAAAGUCAAGUAUUAUUACAGAAUAAGGAAUCUGUUUUAAUUGCUCUUGAAAAUCUGAUGACAACUUGUUAUGGACCACUACCUAGUACAAAUUGUUAUGAAAAUAAUAAAACAGAUGUUUCCUCAA
Non-coding RNA from Heterocephalus glaber (naked mole-rat), 888 nucleotides. NCBI's taxonomy places the organism in Eukaryota, Metazoa, Chordata, Mammalia, Rodentia, Bathyergidae. The record is from RefSeq and is a predicted model, not a curated record.